UACGAAGGGGGCUAGCGUUGCUCGGAAUGACUGGGCGUAAAGGGCGCGUAGGCGGAUACUUAAGUUAGAGGUGAAAGCCCAGGGCUCAACCCUGGAACAGCCUUUAAUACUGGGUAUCUUGAGUUCGGGAGAGGUGAGUGGAACUCCGAGUGUAGAGGUGAAAUUCGUAGAUAUUCGGAAGAACACCAGUGGCGAAGGCGACUCACUGGCCCGAUACUGACGCUGAGGCGCGAAAGCGUGGGGAGCAAACAGG
Molecule: ribosomal RNA, 253 nt
Filed under: uncultured bacterium
Lineage: Bacteria
Description: partial 16S ribosomal RNA
Rfam family: Bacterial small subunit ribosomal RNA
Source: RNAcentral